GACGAACGCUGGCGGCGUGCUUAACACAUGCAAGUCGAACGGAAAGGCCCUGCUUUUGUGGGGUGCUCGAGUGGCGAACGGGUGAGUAACACGUGAGUAACCUGCCCUUGACUUUGGGAUAACUUCAGGAAACUGGGGCUAAUACCGGAUAGGAGCUCCUGCUGCAUGGUGGGGGUUGGAAAGUUUCGGCGGUUGGGGAUGGACUCGCGGCUUAUCAGCUUGUUGGGGGGGUAGUGGCUUACCAAGGGUUUGACGGGUAGCCGGCCUGGGAGGGUGACCGGCCACAUUGGGACUGAGAUACGGCCCAGACUCCUACGGGAGGCAGCAGUGGGGAAUAUUGCACAAUGGGCGGAAGCCUGAUGCAGCAGCGCCGCGUGCGGGAUGACGGCCUUCGGGUUGUAAACCGCUUUCGCCUGUGACGAAGCGUGAGUGACGGUAAUGGGUAAAGAAGCACCGGCUAACUACGUG
Molecule: ribosomal RNA, 468 nt
Filed under: uncultured bacterium
Lineage: Bacteria
Description: partial 16S ribosomal RNA
Rfam family: Bacterial small subunit ribosomal RNA
Source: RNAcentral